GCAGCCCUUCUGUUGUAAGAAAGGUCUUUGAAGGGCACCGCCAUUUUGUUGUACGGACGGCUGUGCUGCACAUGCGCAGUGCUGCUGAGGGACACCGCCCGAUUCCAAGCCAUGUUCAAAAUGUGUUGGCUCGGGUAGGGGGAGGGGGUGCUGCCCCAGCUCGGGGGGGCUGCCUGUAUGGCCGCAGGAGACAUCUGCAAGACUGGGUCAGCCAUGCGCGGAGUCAAGGGAGCCAGCAAAGAGUUUCUCGGGAGGUUUCAUUCCCUCUGUAAGAGACAGUCUGAACAUUUCUCGUCUGCUUCAUGACUGUCUAACAAGGAAGGAGGCUGAAACCCCAAAGACCACAACACAGGAGUUCUGGCCUGGCUGAGGUGGGAUGUCUGCCAAGUGUUGCCUGCAGGUGUGUAAGCGGGACCAAGAACUGGUAUGCGUUCCCAUGGAAACCUGUACUAGGACAAUGGAAUGGACCAGGUCACGGUUGGACAGCCUGUGCUCUCUGCCUGAACUAGCAACCAGGCCCAGACCUCCCUGAUCUGAAAAGUUGCACCUGGUUCCCAGAGCAACGGGCCUCAUCACAAUGAUUCCCAGGUUUCUCCACCUCUUUGGCCAAUGGCUCCUCACUUCUGAAAAUACUAUAAAAAGGGACUUUCUAACUUAAUACUUCUGAGAUCUCCCCACAGAAGACGACGGAUCUAUUGGCUGACGACCACAAGGACUUCAUCUCUUCUGUUGGAAGCUAUUCCCCCCCUCUCUUUUUCUCUUUGUUUCUUUUUUGCUCUCCAUCUAUAGCAUACUAGUGUUGUUAACAUUCAGUAAAAGUGCACUGCUGUUGUGAUUAA
Long non-coding RNA from Prinia subflava (tawny-flanked prinia), 839 nucleotides. RefSeq lists it as uncharacterized. The transcript is spliced from 2 exons. NCBI's taxonomy places the organism in Eukaryota, Metazoa, Chordata, Aves, Passeriformes, Cisticolidae. The record is from RefSeq and is a predicted model, not a curated record.